Molecule: small RNA, 58 nt
Filed under: Caenorhabditis elegans
Lineage: Eukaryota; Metazoa; Nematoda; Chromadorea; Rhabditida; Rhabditidae
Description: Unclassified non-coding RNA Y38E10A.30
Source: RNAcentral
UGUGGAUUUACGGUAAAGAAGGCGCGCUGGCGGGAUUCCGGAGCAUCGUUGUUGGCGG